This 467-nucleotide ribosomal RNA is filed under the name uncultured bacterium. Its description in RNAcentral is "partial 16S ribosomal RNA". It matches the Rfam family "Bacterial small subunit ribosomal RNA", at positions 28 to 506 of the family's 1533-position model. The record is from RNAcentral.
GACGAACGCUGGCGGCGUGCUUAACACAUGCAAGUCGAACGGAAAGGCCCUGCUUUUGUGGGGUGCUCGAGUGGCGAACGGGUGAGUAACACGUGAGUAACCUGCCCUUGACUUUGGGAUAACUUCAGGAAACUGGGGCUAAUACCGGAUAGGAGCUCCUGCUGCAUGGUGGGGGUUGGAAAGUUUCGGCGGUUGGGGAUGGACUCGCGGCUUAUCAGCUUGUUGGUGGGGUAGUGGCUUACCAAGGCUUUGACGGGUAGCCGGCCUGAGAGGGUGACCGGCCACAUGGGGACUGAGAUACGGCCCAGACUCCUACGGGAGGCAGCAGUGGGGAAUAUUGCACAAUGGGCGGAAGCCUGAUGCAGCAACGCCGCGUGCGGGAGGACGGCCUUCGGGUGGUAAACCGCUUUCGCCUGUGACGAAGCGUGAGUGACGGUAAUGGGUAAAGAAGCACCGGCGAACUACGU